This 77-nucleotide transfer RNA is filed under the name Microbacterium sediminis. RNAcentral's name for it is "tRNA-Met". It matches the Rfam family "tRNA". From Rfam's summary of the family: Transfer RNA (tRNA) molecules are approximately 80 nucleotides in length. Their secondary structure includes four short double-helical elements and three loops (D, anti-codon, and T loops). The record is from RNAcentral. Lineage: Bacteria; Bacillati; Actinomycetota; Actinomycetes; Micrococcales; Microbacteriaceae.
GGCGGAGUAGCUCAGUUGGUGAGAGCGCACGACUCAUAAUCGUGAGGUCGCGGGUUCGAGUCCCGCCUCCGCUACCG